This 434-nucleotide ribosomal RNA is filed under the name uncultured Lachnospiraceae bacterium. RNAcentral's name for it is "bacterial SSU rRNA". It matches the Rfam family "Bacterial small subunit ribosomal RNA", at positions 341 to 792 of the family's 1533-position model. The record is from RNAcentral. Lineage: Bacteria; Bacillati; Bacillota; Clostridia; Lachnospirales; Lachnospiraceae.
ACGGAAGGCAGCAGUGGGGAAUAUUGCACAAUGGGGGAAACCCUGAUGCAGCGACGCCGCGUGGAGGAAGAAGUAUUUCGGUACGUAAACUCCUAUCAGCAGGGAAGAAAAUGACGGUACCUGACUAAGAAGCCCCGGCUAACUACGUGCCAGCAGCCGCGGUAAUACGUAGGGGGCAAGCGUUAUCCGGAUUCACUGGGUGUAAAGGGAGCGUAGACGGCAUGGCAAGCCUGAUGUGAAAACCCGCAGCUCAACUGCGGGCCUGCAUUGGGAACUGUCAAGCUAGAGUACUGGAUGGGCAGGCGGAAUUCCUGGUGUAGCGGUGGAAUGCGUAGAUAUCAGGAGGAACACCGGUGGCGAAGGCGGCCUGCUGGACAGAUACUGACGUUGAGGCUCGAAAGCGUGGGGAGCAAACAGGAUUAGAUACCCUGGUA